Molecule: ribosomal RNA, 223 nt
Filed under: uncultured bacterium
Lineage: Bacteria
Description: partial 16S ribosomal RNA
Rfam family: Bacterial small subunit ribosomal RNA
Source: RNAcentral
GAUCAUGGCUCAGGACGAACGCUGGCGGCGUGCCUAAUACAUGCAAGUAGAACGCUGAAGGAGGAGCUUGCUUCUCUGGAUGAGUUGCGAACGGGUGAGUAACGCGUAGGUAACCUGCCUGGUAGCGGGGGAUAACUAUUGGAAACGAUAGCUAAUACCGCAUAAGAGUAGAUGUUGCAUGACAUUUGCUUAAAAGGUUAGCAAUUGCAUCACUACCAGAUGG